This 542-nucleotide small RNA is filed under the name Histoplasma capsulatum var. duboisii H88. RNAcentral's name for it is "Histoplasma capsulatum H88 hypothetical RNA". The record is from RNAcentral. Lineage: Eukaryota; Fungi; Ascomycota; Eurotiomycetes; Onygenales; Ajellomycetaceae.
CAAAGCGAUCCUGGCUUCACAUAUCGACAUCGAUCAAGGAAAGUGCUUCCAACUUUGGAUAUUUGUUUUUGGCCGCUGACCUCCAGCCACUACGGGAUCACGAGCACUACGUGAUUAUUGUUUUUUUGUUUUGUUGAUGACCUCUCCGAGGUUUUGUACCUCAACUCCCCAGUCCAAGACCCUGGCGCACUCUAGUGACCCCACCACCAGUACAUCCCACCACCGCCCUUGCUUCCCGAUGUGGUACAGAUUUUAGUCCCUUCUCAACUGGCCCAAGACUUGAAGAACCAGCAUAAUCAUAGCUCACUUGUGGAUGGCCUGCCCCGUUUCAGCUGCAUCGACCCGUUCAUGCAUAUGCGAGUAUGCAAGGCAGCGACAGAACGGAUCCACGCCACGGAUCCUAUCUUGGAGCCACCAGCUACGCCAAACCAUCUCCAGCCUAGCUUUCCCUCUCUGCCUAGAACACAGAAUGAAACUCUCACCAAGGACUAUAUUCAGGGACCAUUUUGAAAACACCACAAAAUACCCUCAAUUCACGCGAU